This is a long non-coding RNA of Xiphias gladius (swordfish), 940 nucleotides long. RefSeq lists it as uncharacterized. The transcript has 3 exons. NCBI's taxonomy places the organism in Eukaryota, Metazoa, Chordata, Actinopteri, Istiophoriformes, Xiphiidae. The record is from RefSeq and is a predicted model, not a curated record.
UGUACAGAAACCAAAGGGUAAAAACAAUUUGCUCUUUUGUGGGGGGCUAUGUUCCAGACCAUUUCUUGGCUGGAAGCCACAGCGGGAGCGUCUCAUCUAACUCUCCACCAGCGAGAGAAUAAGCAUAUUUCCUAGAAUGCCCAACUUUUCCUUUAGGAAAGGAGUUAAAAAUACCAAUAGAAGGGGAAGAUGUGAAAGUGAAAGGUCAACUGCUCUGAGGUGUGGGGGCAACAAUUUAAACUGCUGGAUCCCCUUUGGAUUUUGAUUGAAGCAAACAACAGAGAGGAGUGAUUCUGUCCACUAAAUGCGAGGACCCCAAAGCAUUUGGACAAAGAUGGCCACAAACCAGCCCUCCCCAUUGCAAGAAAAAGGCGACUCAACAGCAGAUGCCUGCGGUGGAACAGAAUAUUCACAAACUAGCUGAACAGACCUAAGCAAUCAAAACUACGGUGACCAAAGCAGUGAUUCACUGGCUGGUAAGCGUUGGCCCUCCACAUAACGCCAACACAGGCCUAAAUACCCCCUUCUGACUGAGCUCUUGAUGCUGCAUGAACACAAGGAUAGCCACUCUGUAGGCACGACCCCAUGAACCCUGCAAUCGCUCAGCACACUAUUCUAAACAAAAAACUUUGUUUUUACACAUGUGCAACCAAACUGGGUCUACUCUAAUCAAUUCUAUCAAACUAAGCAAAUGUUCAGCAUACCAUAUAUCUGCCUGCAUGCUCUACCAAUCCCCUGCUCACUGUUUAGUCUCCUCAUUUAACAGGUACAGCCAGACCAAAACCAUUUAGUUUCGCCUGGCUAAAACGGGUUUCAUUUCGGUUUCUGCUUCAAUGGUGAAGCUGUAUCACUUCAUUUUGUACUUAGAUUGCAUUAUUAAGGUGGCAAAAUGUAUAAUAUAAAUGUCUCAGAGCAAAAAAAUUUAGACAGCAGCUCUAAA